CCCAGCUCAUCAUGCUAGAGCACUUUUUCAAUGUGCUCCCCAACGAGAAGGCGACGACGCAUUCGUAUGUCAAUCCAUAUCAACUUUCUAUGCCAUUGACUGCGACUACCAUGGUGACCACGGGUAAAGGGGGAUUAGGGUUUGAUUCCGUACAGGGACCCUAACAAAUGGCUACCACAUGCAAGGAAGGCAGCAGGCGUGCAAAUUACCCACUCCCAACGCGGGAAGGUAGUGACG
RNAcentral lists this ribosomal RNA (237 nucleotides) under Pelobates cultripes (western spadefoot toad). Its description in RNAcentral is "SSU_rRNA_microsporidia". It matches the Rfam family "Eukaryotic small subunit ribosomal RNA", at positions 238 to 472 of the family's 1831-position model. Lineage: Eukaryota; Metazoa; Chordata; Amphibia; Anura; Pelobatidae. The record is from RNAcentral.